GGAGAAUAAGGGAAUACAGUUCAAGUUUUGGCAAUCAGGCGCCCACCUGGAGAACAAGGGAAUACAGUUCAAGUUUUGGCAAUCAGGCGCCCACCUGGAGAACAAGGGAAUACAGUUAAGGUUUUGGCAAUCAGGUGCCCACCUGAGAACAGGGGAAUACAGUUAAAGUUUUGGCAAUCAAGCGUCUACCUAAAGAACAAGGGAAUACAAUUAAAGUUUUGGCAAUCAGGCCCCCACCUGGAGAACAAGGGAAUACAAUUAAAGUUUUGGCAAUCAGGCGCCCACCUAAAGAUCAAGGGAAUACAAUUAAAGUUUUAACAAUCGGGCGCCCACAUGGAGAACAAGGAAAUAUAGUUCAAGUUUUGGCAAUCAGGCGCCUACCUGGAGAACAAGGGAAUACAGUUCAUGUUUUGACAUUCAGGCGCCCACCUGGAGAACAAGGUAAUACAAUUAAGGGUUUGGCAAUCAGGCGCCCACCUAAGAACAGGGGAAUACAGUUAAAGUUUUGGCAAUCAUGUGCCUACCUAAAGAACAAGGGAAUACAAUUCAAGUUUUGGCAAUCAGGCGCCCACCUGGAGAACAAGGGAAUAUAGUUCAAGUUUUAGCAAUCUAGCACCCACAUAGAGAACAAGGGAAUACAGUUAAAGUUUUGGCAAUCAGGCGCCCACUUAGAGAACAAGGGAAUACUGUUAAAGUUUUGUCAAUCAGGCGCCUCUCUAAAGAACAAGGGAAUACAAUUAAAGUUUUGGAAAUCAGGCACCCACCUGGAUAACAAGGGAAUAUAGUUCAAGUUAUGGCUAUCAGGCGCCCACAUGGAGAACAAGGGAAUACAGUUGAAGUUUUGGCAAUCAGGCACCCACCUGGAGAACAAGGGAAUACAGUUAAAGUGUUGGCAAUCAUGCGUCCACCUGGAGAACAAGGGAAUACAGUUAAAGUUUUGGCAAUCAGGCGCCGACCUGGAGAACAAGGGAAUAUAGUCAAAGUUUUGGCAAUCAGGCGCCGACCUGGAGAACAAGGGAAUACAAUUCAAGUUUUGGCAAUCAGGCG
This 1047-nucleotide long non-coding RNA is filed under the name Nicotiana tabacum (common tobacco). Its description in RNAcentral is "long non-coding RNA (NTAB_LNC014938)". The record is from RNAcentral. Lineage: Eukaryota; Viridiplantae; Streptophyta; Magnoliopsida; Solanales; Solanaceae.